RNAcentral lists this ribosomal RNA (252 nucleotides) under uncultured bacterium. RNAcentral describes it as "partial 16S ribosomal RNA". It matches the Rfam family "Bacterial small subunit ribosomal RNA", at positions 524 to 776 of the family's 1533-position model. The record is from RNAcentral.
UACGUAGGGGGCAAGCGUUGUCCGGAAUUAUUGGGCGUAAAGCGCGCGCAGGCGGCUUUGUAAGUCUGUCGUUUAAGUUCGGGGCUCAACCCCGUAUCGCGAUGGAAACUGCAAGGCUUGAGUACAGAAGAGGAAAGUGGAAUUCCACGUGUAGCGGUGAAAUGCGUAGAGAUGUGGAGGAACACCAGUGGCGAAGGCGACUUCCUGGCCUGUUCUUGACGCUGAGGCGCGAAAGCUAGGGUAGCAAACGGG